This 831-nucleotide ribosomal RNA is filed under the name Triticum aestivum (bread wheat). RNAcentral's name for it is "partial small subunit ribosomal RNA". Lineage: Eukaryota; Viridiplantae; Streptophyta; Magnoliopsida; Poales; Poaceae. The record is from RNAcentral.
AUGGCGUCGUUGUCGUCGACGACCAACACGUCGGAAGGCGGCGGGAAGCCAGCGUCCUUGUGCCCGAGAGGCCACUGGCGGCCGGGGGAGGACGAGAAGCUGCGCCAGCUCGUGGAGAAGUACGGCCCCCAGAACUGGAACUCCAUAGCCGAGAAGCUCGAGGGCAGAUCAGGCAAGAGCUGCCGUCUCCGGUGGUUCAACCAGCUUGACCCGCGGAUCAACAAGCGGCCGUUUACGGAGGAAGAGGAGGAGCGUCUGCUAGCGGCGCACCGAGUCCACGGCAACAAGUGGGCUCUCAUCGCCCGCCAUUUUCCUGGCCGCACUGACAACGCCGUCAAGAAUCACUGGCACGUCGUCAGGGCCCGCCGCAGCCGUGAGCGCUGCAGGCUCCUCGCCAAGGCCGCCUCGUCCACCUUCCCGUCCUACUACAGCGGCGGCGCCCAGCUCGACUUCGCCGGCGCGUCGGCCGGCUCCUUCUGCUUUGGCUUCUCCAAGCCUAGUGGUGGCGGUUUCUUCGGCUCACCGCCGGCUGCGGCGGCAGUGGCGCCUUCUUCUACUCCAGUACUGUUCAAUGGCUACGGCGCUUCAGGAAACCAGAGCUUGCUGUCAAGGUACAGUAGCUACCUGGACGGCGGCAAGCAACCGGCGGCGCCGUCUUCUCACUCCAUCGCCUUCUCCUCCCCACCUUCAAGAGAAGCACUAGCGUUGGAUGGCCGUGGCGGCCCUGACCAUCAGCACAGGAAGGAUUACCAUGUCGACGGCGAUGAACCACUGAAAACGAAGGAUGCGCCACCGUUCAUCGACUUCCUCGGCGUCGGCGUGUCCUCGUGA